This 877-nucleotide long non-coding RNA is filed under the name Homo sapiens (human). RNAcentral describes it as "HSALNT0375554". The record is from RNAcentral. Lineage: Eukaryota; Metazoa; Chordata; Mammalia; Primates; Hominidae.
AGAGUGAAACUCUGUUUCAAAAAAAAAAAAAAGGAAGUGCCUACCCAAAAUGCUGUAGCAAAAAAUUCUGGACAGUGGUGUGGUUGAACAACAGCCUCUAUCGAAGGCACGAGAGGGGGAAGGGUGUGUGUGCCACACAUUUGCCAUCCCUGACCAAAUGUGACCCCUGCCUUUCCGGUGACUUGCACAUGGCUUGUUGCUAGUUAGUGGCACAGCCGGGACUACACCCUAGGUUUCCUGACUUCCAAGCCAUUGUUCUAACUCAGGAAGCCAUUGCUCUAACUCAGGAAGAAAGCUCCCCUCCUCAGUAAGUGCUGUGGAGCGGUAGCUCUCUCCCAGAGCUUGCUGGUGGGCUCUCACAGGCUCCCAGUGUUCUUAGCCUGUGAGUCCACUCCACUCUUGGCAACCCUUCCUGACAGCCACUGAAAGACUACCUUUGGCAUCUGUCAACACUUAACCUGGGAGGCAGAGGUUGCAGUGAGCCGACAUCGCGCCACUGCAUUCCAGCCUGAGUGACAGAGCAAGAUUCCAUCUCACAGGGUGGGGGGUGGGGAAGCUUGCCAUAUAAAGAAUACUUUCUGCAGGGCCUGUGCGGAGAUCCACUGUCUUGUGGCUGCCUGAGACAUGGCUUCUAUUUGGAGAGGAUCCAGAUGGGACAGGAUAUGUCCCGGUAAGGGUGCCCCCAGUUGCAUCUCCUGGUUCCAUUAUAAGCCUUGUUUCUUCUGCUCCUGUACUCAUCAUCUCCCAUAACUAGACUUCUAGAAGUUGGAUGGAUCUUCCUGACCUCACACAACCAAUAAACCAUUCCUCCCCUGCAAGCAAGCCUGAGCUGAAGGUUGGCAGUGCCAUGCUGGCAAGAAAGAUUCCAGAGACUUCG